RNAcentral lists this ribosomal RNA (995 nucleotides) under uncultured bacterium. RNAcentral's name for it is "bacterial SSU rRNA". It matches the Rfam family "Bacterial small subunit ribosomal RNA", at positions 356 to 1376 of the family's 1533-position model. The record is from RNAcentral.
GGGGAAUAUUGCACAAUGGGGGAAACCCUGAUGCAGCGACGCCGCGUGGAGGAAGAAGGUCUUCGGAUUGUAAACUCCUGUUGUUGAGGAAGAUAAUGACGGUACUCAACAAGGAAGUGACGGCUAACUACGUGCCAGCAGCCGCGGUAAAACGUAGGUCACAAGCGUUGUCCGGAAUUACUGGGUGUAAAGGGAGCGCAGGCGGGAAGACAAGUUGGAAGUGAAAUCCAUGGGCUCAACCCAUGAACUGCUUUCAAAACUGUUUUUCUUGAGUAGUGCAGAGGUAGGCGGAAUUCCCGGUGUAGCGGUGGAAUGCGUAGAUAUCGGGAGGAACACCAGUGGCGAAGGCGGCCUACUGGGCACCAACUGACGCUGAGGCUCGAAAGUGUGGGUAGCAAACAGGAUUAGAUACCCUGGUAGUCCACACCGUAAACGAUGAUUACUAGGUGUUGGAGGAUUGACCCCUUCAGUGCCGUAGUUAACACAAUAAGUAAUCCACCUGGGGAGUACGACCGCAAGGUUGAAACUCAAAGGAAUUGACGGGGGCCCGCACAAGCAGUGGAGUAUGUGGUUUAAUUCGACGCAACGCGAAGAACCUUACCAAGUCUUGACAUCCCUUGACGAUGCUGGAAACAGUAUUUCUCUUCGGAGCAAGGAGACAGGUGGUGCAUGGUUGUCGUCAGCUCGUGUCGUGAGAUGUUGGGUUAAGUCCCGCAACGAGCGCAACCCUUAUGGUCAGUUACUACGCAAGAGGACUCUGGCCAGACUGCCGUUGACAAAACGGAGGAAGGUGGGGAUGACGUCAAAUCAUCAUGCCCUUUAUGACUUGGGCUACACACGUACUACAAUGGCGUUAAACAAAGAGAAGCAAGACCGCGAGGUGGAGCAAAACUCAGAAACAACGUCCCAGUUCGGACUGCAGGCUGCAACUCGCCUGCACGAAGUCGGAAUUGCUAGUAAUCGUGGAUCAGCAUGCCACGGUGAAUACGUUCCCG